Molecule: ribosomal RNA, 254 nt
Filed under: uncultured bacterium
Lineage: Bacteria
Description: partial 16S ribosomal RNA
Rfam family: Bacterial small subunit ribosomal RNA
Source: RNAcentral
CAGAGGUGGCAAGCGUUGUUCGGAAUUAUUGGGCGUAAAGCGCGUGUAGGCGGCUUUGCAAGUCGGGUGUGAAACGCCCUCAGGCUCAACUGAGGAAGUGCGCCCGAAAUGCAGAGCUUGAGUGCCGGAGAGGGUGGCGGAAUUCCCCAAGUGAGAGGUGAAAUUCGUAAGAUAUGGGGAGGAACACCGGUGGCGAAGGCGGCCACCUGGACGGUAACUGACGCUGGAGACGCGAAGCGUGGGGAGCAAACAGG